UGCCAGCCGCCGCGGUAAUACGGAAGGGGCGAACGUUAUUCGGAUUUACUGGGCGUAAAGCGAUCGUAGGCGGUUGAAUAGGUUAGAUGUGAAAGCCCUGGGCUCAACCCGGGAACUGCAUUUAAAACUGUUCAACUAGAGUUAUAGAGAGGAUAGUAGAAUUCCGAGUGUAGAGGUGAAAUUCGUAGAUAUUCGGAGGAAUACCAGUGGCGAAGGCGGCUAUCUGGCUAUAUACUGACGCUGAGGGUCGAAAGUGUGGGGAGCAAACAGGAUUAGAUA
RNAcentral lists this ribosomal RNA (279 nucleotides) under uncultured bacterium. RNAcentral's name for it is "partial 16S ribosomal RNA". It matches the Rfam family "Bacterial small subunit ribosomal RNA", at positions 506 to 784 of the family's 1533-position model. The record is from RNAcentral.